CGAAUGAUCACUGCAUCUGCCUUCAUGGGCACUGCAUCCUCCAUCACAACAUUCAUCAUCACUGCAUGAGCACUGAAUCCAUAUUAGGGACACUGCAUUCAGAUGCAUUGACAGUGCAGAUGCACUGCAAUGAAUGCAGGAUCACUGCAUCCUCCUUCAGGGGUCCUGCAUCCUACUUCACAGCAUACUGCAUCCACCUUGGGUCACACUGCAGAGGCUGCGUGGGCCCUGCAUCCACAUUCAGAGACACUGCAGUGGGCUCUGCAAACACUGCAGCAACACUGCAUUCAGCUGAAGUGGCACUGCAGGUGCACUGCAAUCACUGAAAGUUCAGUGCAUCCACUGCUUGUUCACUGCAUCCACAUUCAGGGACACUGCGGUGUACAUGGAAACCAGUGAAGGAUCACUGCAUCCACCUUCAUGGGCACUGCAUCCUAUGUCACAACAUACUGCAUCCAACUUCUGUGACACUGCAUACACUGCCGGGGCACUGCAUCCACAUUCCCAGACAAUGCAGGCAGCACCGCAACGACUGCAGGGACAGUGUAUGCAGCUGAAGUGGAACUGCAGGUGCACCGCGAUAACUGAAUGUUCACUGCAUCCACUUCAUGUUCACUGCAUCCACAUUCAGGGACACUGCAGUGUGCACGGAAACCACUGCAGGAUCACCGCAUCCACCUUCAUGGGCAUUGCAUCCUCUGUCACAACAUACUGCAUCUACCUUGAGUGACACUGCAGCCAUUGCAUGGGAACUGCAGCCACGUUCAGCCACAGGGCAACAGGCACUUCAACCACUGCACAGACACUGUAUAGAGUUGAAGUGGCACUGCAGGCGCACUUCAAUCACUGCAGUCUCACUGCAUUCACAGUCGUGGGCACUGCAUCUUCCGUCACAACAUACUGCAUCCACCUUGUGCAACACUGCAUCCACUGCAUGGGCACUGCAUCCACAUUCAGGGAACCUGAAGGGGCACUGCAACAACUGCAGGAUCACCGCAUCCACCUUCAUGGGCACUGCAUCCUCCAUUAAAACAUACUGAAUCAGCCUUGUGGGACACUGCAUCCACUUCAUGGGCACUGCAUCCACCAUCAGUGACACAGAAGGGGGCAUGACAACCAGUGCAGGAACACUGCAUGCACCUUCAUGGGCAAUGCAUCAUCCAUCAGAACAUACUGUUUGUACCUUCAGUGACACUUCACCCAUUGCAUGGGCACUGCAACCACUUUCAGCGAAACUGUAGGGGGCACGGCAACAACUGCAGGUUCACAGCAUCCACCUUCAUGGGCACUUCAUCCUGCGAGAAAGCGUACUGCAUCCACCUUUUGAGAAACUGCAUCCACUGCAUGACUCCUGCAUCCACAUUCUAGGACAAUGCCAGGGCACUGAAACCAGUGCAGGGAGACUGCAUCCACGUUGAUGGGCACUGCAUCCUCCGUCACAACAUACUGCAUAAACCUUUAGGUAAACUGCAUCCACAGCAUGGGAAAUGCAUUCACCUUUAGGGACACAGAAGGCAUCACUGCAACCCCUACAGGGACACUGCUUCCAGCUGAUGUGGAAAUGCAGGUGCACUCCAACCACUGCAGGAUCACUGCAUCCACUGCAUGUUCACAGCAUCCACAUUCAGGCCCAAAGCAGGGUGCACCGCAACCACUGAGGGAUCCCUGCAUCCACAUUCGUAAACAUUGCAUCUUCCAUCACAACCUACGACAUCCACCUUGUGGGACACAGCAACUACUGCAUGGGCACUGCAUCCACAUUCAGGGAACUCUAAGAGGCACUGCAACCAGUGCAGCAUAACUGCAUCCACCAUCAUGGGCCCUGCAUCCUCCUUCACAACCUAUUGCAUCCAAGUUGUGGGACUCUGCAUCCACUGCAUGACUCCUGUAUCCACAUUUCCGGACAAUGCGGGGGGUACUGCAAUCACUGCAGCAACACUAUAUUCAGCUGAAGUGGCACUGCAGAAGCACUGCCAUCACUUCAGGAUCACUGCAUUCACAUUAAUCGGCACUACAUACUACACACACCACAAUGCCUUCACAUUGUGGGACUCUGCAUCCACUGCAUGAGCACUGCAUCCACAUUCCAGGACAAUGCAAGGGGCAUUGAACCCACUGCAGGGACACUGCAUCCACUGCAUGGGCACUGCAGUCACCUUCAGGGACACUGAAGAUGGCAUUGCAACCCCUGAGGGACACUGCAUCUAGCUGAUGUGGAAAUGCAUGUGCAAUGCAAUCACUGCAGGAUCUCUGCAUCCAUGGCAUGUUUACAGCAUCCACAUUCAGAGACACAGCAGGGUGCACUUCAACCACUACAGGAACACUGAAUACAGAUGAAGUGGACUGAGGUGAACUGCAAUGACUGCAGGAUCACUGCAUCGUCCUUCAUGGGCACUGAAUCCUGCUUCACAACAUACUGUGUCCACCUUGAGUCACACUGCAGACACUGCCUGGGCACUGCAUCCACCUUCUCUGACAAUGCAUUGCGCACUGCAACCACUGCAGUGACAGUGCAUCCAUCUUAAAUCAGACUGCAGGUGCACAGGAUGAAGCACAGGCUCACGGCAUCCAACUUUGUGGGCACUGCAUCCUCCGUCACAACAUACUGCAUAAACCUUUACAUACACUGCCUCCACUGCAUGGGCACUGCAUUCACCUUCAGAGACUCAGAAGGUUGCACUGCAACCACGGCAGCGACACUGCUUCCAGCUGAUGAAGAAAUGCAGGUGCACUGCAAUCACUACAGGAUCACUGCAUCCACUGCAUGUUCACAGCAUGCACAUUCAGGGACACAGCAGGGUGCACUGCAACCACUACAGGAACACUGAAUCCAGAUGAAAUGAACUGAAGUGAACUGCAAUGACUGUAGAAUCACUGCAUUGUCCUCAUGGGCACUGAAUCCUGCUUCACAACAUACUGCAUCCACCUUGAGUCACACUGCAGACACUGCAUGGGCACAGCAUCCACAUUCAGGGACAUGGCAGGGGCUCAGCAACCUAUGCAGCUACACUGCAUCCAGCGGAAGUGGUACUGGAGGUGCACUGCAAUCACUGAAGAUUCACUGCAUCCACUGCAUAGGCACUGCAUCAACAUUUCAGGACAAUGUCAGGGGCACUGCAACUACUGGAGGUACACUGUAUCCCCCUUCAUGUGCACUGCAUACUCCGUCACAACAUACUGCAUAAACCCUUAGGUACACUGCAUUCACUGCAUGGGCACUGCAUUCACAUUCAGCUACACAGAAGGUGGCACUGCAACCCCUGCAGGGACACUGCUUCCAGCUGAUGUGGAAAUGCAGUAAUACUGAAAUCACUGCAUGAUCACUGCAUCCACUGCAUGUUCAGAGCAUGCACAUUCAUGGACACAGCAGGGUGCACUGCAACCACUGCCAGAUCACUGCAUCCACCCUCACAGGCACUGCACCCUCCAUCACAACAUAGUGCAUCCACCUUGUGGGACAACGCAUCCACUGUAUGACUACUGCAUUAACAUUACUGGACAAUGCAGGGGGCACUGCAAGCACUGCAGGGACACUGCAUCCACCUUCAUGAGAACUGCAUCAUCCGUCAUAACAUACUGCAUCCACCUAGUGGGACACUGCAUCCACUGCCUGUGCACUGCAUCCACAUUUCAGGACAAUGCAGGGGGCACUGCAACCACUGCAUGGACACUGCAUCCACGUGAAGUGGCACUGCAGGUGCACUGACAUCACUGCAGGAUCACUGCAUUCACCUUUAUCGGCAUUGGAUGCUACAACACACCACAAUGCCUCCACAUUGUGGGACACUGCAUCCACUGCAUGAGCACUUCAUCCACAUUCCAGGACAAGGCAGGGGGCAUUGCAACCACUGCAGUGACACUGCAUCCAGCUGAAUUGCCACGGAAGGAGUACGGCAAUCACUGCCGGCUGACUGCAUUGAACUCCAGGGCUCUUCAUCCUCUGUCACAACAUACGACAACCAACUGUUGGUACUCUGCAUCCACUGCAUGGGCACUGCAUACACAUUCAGGGACACAGAACAAGGCAGGGAAACCACUUCAGGGACACUGCCACCAGCUGAAGUGGCACUGCAAGUUCACUGCAAUGACAGCAGGAUCACUGCAUAAUCCUUCAUGAUCACUGAAUCCUACAACACAUCAUAAGUCAUCCACCUUGAGGGACACUGCAUCCACUGCAUGAGCACUGCAUCCACAUUCAGGUAAACUGCAGGGGGCACUGCAACCACUGCAGGAUCACUGCAUCCACCUUCAUGUGCACUGCAUCCUCCAUCACAACAUACUGCAUGCACAUUUUGGGACACUGCAUCCACUGCAUGGGGACUGCAUCCACGUUCAGGGACACUGCACAUGGCUCUGCAAACUCUGCAGCAACACCGCAUCCAGCUGAAGUGGCACUGCGAGUGCACUGCAAUCACUUCAGGAUCACUGCAUCCACUGCAUGUUCACAGCAUCCACAUUCAGGGACACAGCAGGGUGCAUUGCAACCAUUGCAGAGACAGUGCAUCCAGAUGAGGUGGCACUGCUGGUGCACUGCAAUGACUGCAGGCUCACUGAUACAACUGAAGUUGCAAUGCAGGCUCAACUGCAUUCAGCACAGGCUCAUUGCAUCCACCUUCUUGGGCACUGCAUCUUCCAUCGCAACAUAUGACAUCGACCUUGUGGGACACUGCAACUACUGCAUGGGCACUGCAUCCAAAUUCAGGGAACUGUAGGGGGCACUGCAAUCACUGUAGGAUCACUGCAUCCAAUGCAUGUUCACAGCAUCCACAUUCAGGGAACUGUAGGGGGCACUGCAACCACUGCAGCAUCACUGCAUCCACCUUCAUGGGCCCUGCAUCCAGCGUCACAAUAUACUGCAUGCACAUUGUGGGACACUGCAUCCACUGCAUGGGGACUGCAUCCACGUUCUGGGACACUGCAGUUGGCCCUGCAUCCACUGCUGCAACACUGCUUCCAGCUGAUGUGGAAAUGCAGGUGCACUGCAAUCACUGCACGAUCACUGCAUCCACUGCAUCUUCACAGCAUUCACAUUCAGGGACACAGCAUGCUGCACUGUAACCUCUGCAGGCAAUCUGGAUCCUGAUGAAGUGGCACUGCAGGUGCACUGCAAUGACUGCAGGAUCACUGCAUCGUCCUUCAUGUUCACUGAAUCCUGCUUCAGAACAUACUGCAUCCACCUUGAGUCACACUGCAGACACUGCAUGGGCACAGCAUCCACAGUCAGGGACAUGGCAGGGGGCCCUGCAACCACUGCACCUACACUGCAUCCUGCUGAAGUGUCACUGUAGGCUCACUGUAAUCACUGAAGUUUCCCUGCAUUCCCUGCCUUGGCACUGAAUCAACAUUUCAGGACAAUGCCGGGGGCACUGCAACCACUGGAGGGGCACUGCAUCCCCCUGCAUCGGCAUUGCAUCCUCCGUCACAACAUACUGCAUAAAACUUUAGGUACCCUGCAUCCACUGCAUGGGCACAGCAUUCAUCGUCAGUGACACAGAAGGCGGUACUGCAACCCCUGCAGGGACACUGCUUCCAGCUGAUGUGGAAAUGCAGGCAUACUGAAAUCACUGCAUCCACUGCAUGUUCAGAGCAUGCACAUUCAUGGACACAGCAGGGUGCACUGCAAUCACUGCCGGAUCACUGCAUCCACCCUCAUGGGCACUGCAUCCUCCAUCACAACCUACUGCAUGCACCUUGUUGGACACUGUAUCCAAUGCCUGGGCACUACAUCCACUUUCUCGGAUGAUGCAUUGGGCACUGCACCCACAGCAGGGACACUGCAUACAGCUGAAGUUGCCCUGCAUGUGCACUGCAAUCACUGAAUGUUCAGUGCAUCCACUGGUUGUUCACUGCCUCCACAUUCAGGGACAGUGCAGUAUACAUGGAAACCACUGAAGGAUGACUGCAUCCACCUUCAUGGGCACCGCAUCCUAUGUCACAACAUACUGCAUCGAACUUUUGUGUCACUGCAUACACUGCCUGCGAACUGCAUCCACAUUCCCAGACAAUGCAGGCAGCACUGCAAUGACUGCAGGGACAAUGUAUGCAGCUGAGGCGGAACUGCAGGUUGACCGCAAUCACUGAAUGUUCACUGCAUCCACUUCAUGUUCACUGCAUCCACAUUCAGGGAAACUACAGAGUGUAUGGGAAACCACUGCAGGAUCACUACAUCCACCUCAAUGGGCACUGCAUCCUCUGUCACAACAUACUGCAUCUACCUUCAGUGACACUACAGCCAUUGCAUGGGCACUGCAACCACGUUCUGGGAUAGGGCAACAGGCACUGCAACCACUGCAGGGACUCUGGAUCCAGCUGAAGUGGCACUACAGGCACACUGCAAUCACUGCAGGAUCACUGCAUCUGACUUCAUGGGCACUGCAUCCUCCAUCACAACAUACUUCAUCACUGCAUGAGCACUGCAUCCAAAUUCAGGGACAGUGCAAGUUGCACUGCAGCGACUGCAGGGACAAUACAUCCAGUGAAGUGGCGCUGCAUGCGCACUGCACCCACUGCAGGAUCACUGCAUCUGCCUUCAUGGUCACUGAAUCCUCCAUCACAACAUACAUCAUCACUGCAUGAGCACUCAAUCCACAUUCAGGGACACUGCAUCCAGAUGAAUUGACACUGCAGGUGCACUGCAAUGGAUGCAGGAUCACUGCAUCCUCCUUCAUGGGGACUGCAUCCUAAUUCACAACAUACUGCAUCCACCUUGCGUCAACUGCAGAGGCUGCAUGGGCCCUGCGUCCACAUUCAGAGACACUGCAGUGGGCUCUGCAACCACUGCAGCAACACUGCAUUCAGCUGAACUGGCACUGCAGGUGCACUACAAUCACUAUUCAGUGCGUUUACUGCUUGUUCACUGCAUCCACAUUCAGGGACAUGGCAGUUUGCACGGAAACCACUGCAGGAUCACUGCAUCCACCUUCAUGGGCACUGCAUCCUCUGUCACAACAUACUGCAUCCAACAUGUGUGACACUGCAUACACUGCUUGGGCACUGCAUCUGCAUUCCCGGAUAAUGCAGGCAGCACUGCAACCACUGCAGGGACACUGUAUACAGUUGAAGUGGCACUUCAGGCGCACUGCCAUCACUGCAGUCUCUCUGCAUUCACAAUCAUGAGCCCUGCAUCCUCCAUCACAACAUAUUGCAUCCAGCUUGUGCGACACUGCAUCCACUUUAUGGGCACUGCAUCCACAUUCAGUGAACCUGAAGGGGGCACUGCAACAACUGCAGGAUCACCUCAUCCACCUUCAUGGGGAAUGCAUCAUCCAGCAUAACAUACGAAAUCUACCUUCAGUGACACUGCAGCCAUUGUAUGGGCCCUGCAUCCACAUUCAUGGAUCCUGAAGGGGGCACUGCAACCACUGCAGGAUCACUGCAUCCACCUUCAGGGGCACUGCAUCCUCUGUAACAACAUACUUCAUUGAACUUGUGUGACACUGCAUCCACUGCUUGGGCACUGCAUCAGCAUGUCUGGACAAUGCAGGCAGCACUGCAACCACUGCAGGGACACAGUAUACAGUUGAAGUGGCACUGCAGGUGCACUGCAAUCACUGAAUCUCAAUGCUUUCACAGUCGUGGGCACUGCAUCUUCCGUCACAACAUACUGCAUCCACUUAUGCGACACUGCAUCCACUGCAUGGGCACUGCACCCACAUUCAGGGACCCUGAAGGGGACACUGCAACAACUGCAGAAUCACCACAUCCAAGUUCAUGGGCACUGCAUCCUCCAUUACAGCAUACUGCAUCUGCCUUGUGGGACACUGCAUCCACUGCAUGGUCACUGCAUCCACAAUCAGGGACACAGAAGUUGGCAAGACAGCCAACGCAAGAACACUGCAUCCACCUUCAUGGGCAAUGCAUUAUCCAUCAUAACAUACUGCAUCCACCUUGUUGGGCAGUAAAUCCAAUGCAAGGGCACGGCAUUCUCAUUCAGGGAUGCUGCAGGGGGCACUACCACCACUGCAGGAUCACUGCAUCCACUUCCAUGGGCACUCCAACCUCCGUCACAACAUACUGCAUCUACCUUCAGUGACACGGCAGCCAUUGCAUGGGCACUGCUGCCACAUUCAUGGACAGUGCAACAGGCACUGCAACAACUACAGGGACUCUGGAUCCAUCUGAAGUGGCACUGCUGGCGCACUUCAAUCACUGCAGGAUUACUGCAUCUGCCUUCAUGGCACUGCAUCCUCCAUCACAACAUUCUUGAUCACUGCAUGAGCACUGCAUUCAAAAUAAGUGACAGUGCAGGUUGCACUGCAGCGACUGUAACUGAAGUGGCACUGCAUGCGCACUGUAACCCCUGCAGAAUCACUGCAUCCACAUUCAUGGGCACUGCAUCCUCUGUCUCAACAUGCAAUAUCCAUCUUUUGGUAUUCUGCAUCCACUGAAUUGACACUGCAUUCAUAUUCAGAGACAAAGAUGGGGGCACAGCAACCCCCACAGGAACACUGCAGCCAGCUGAAGUGGCACUGCAGGUGCACUGCAAUCACUGCAGAAACACUGCAUCCUCCUUCAUGGGCAAUGCAUCAUCCGUCAUAACAUACUGCAUCCACCUUGUGGGGCACUGAAUCCACUGCAUGAGCACUGAAUUCACCUUCAGGGACACAGAAGGUGGCACUGCAACCCAUGCAGGAACACUGCAUCCAGCUGAAGUGGCACUUCAAGUGCACUGCAAUCACUGCAGGCUCAAUGCAUCCACCUUCAUGUGCACUGCAUCCUCCGUGACAGCAUACCGCAUCAACCUUGUGGGACACUUCAUGUACUGCAUGGGCACUGCAUCUAAAUUCAGGGAAAGUGUAGGUGGCACUGCAAUCACUGCAGGUUCACCGCAUCCACGUUCAUGGGCACUGCAUCCUCUGUCACAACAUACUGCAUAAACCUUUAGGUAACCUGCAUCCACUGCGUUGGAACUGCAUUCACAUUCAGUGACAGAGAAGGCGGCACUCCGCCUGCAGGGACACUGCUUCCAGCUGAUUUGGAAGUGCAGGCACACUGCAAUCAUUGCAGGAUCACUGCAUCCAUUGCAUGUUCAGAGCAUGCACAUUCAGGGACACAGCAGGGUACACUGCAACCACUGCAGGUUCACCACAUCCACCUUCAGGGGCACUGGAUGCUCCUUCACAACAUAGUGCAUGCACCUUGUGGGACACUGCAUCCAAUGCUUGGGCACUGCAUCCAAGUUCUCAGGCACUGCAGUGUGCACUGCAUUAACUACAGGCUCACGGAAUCCCCCUUGUGGGUACUGCAUCCUCUGUCACAACAGACUGCAUCCAACAUGUGGGACACAGCAUGCACUGCAUGGGCACUGUAUCCACAUUCAGGGAAACUUAGCGGGCACUUCAGCCACACAGGUUCACCACAUCCACCUUCAUGUGCACUGCAUCCUCCAUCACAACAUACUGCAUGCACCUUGUGGGACUCUGCAUCCAAUGCCUAGUCACUGCAUCCAUGUUCUCGGAGAAUGCACUCGACACUGCAACCACUACAGGGACACUGCAUACAGCUGAAGUCGCACUGCAGGUGCACUGCAUUCAGCACAGGCUCAUUGCAUCCACCUUCGUGGGCACUGCAGCUUCCAUCACAACAUACGACAUCCACGUUGUGGGACACUGCAACUACUGCAUGGGCACUGCAUCCAUAUUCAGGGAACUGUAGGGGGCACUGCAACCACUGCAGCAUCUCUGCUUCCACCUUCAUGGGGCCUGCAUCCUCGAUCACAACAUACUGCAUCCAACUUGUGGACACUGCAUCCGCUGCAUGACUACUACAUCCACAUUCCCGGACAAUGCCUGGGACACUGCAAGCAAUGCAGGGAUACCAUAUCCACCUUCAUGAGAAUUGCAUCAUCCGUCAUAACAUACUGCAUCCACCUUGUGGGACACUGCAUCCACUGCCUGGGCACUGCAUUCACAUUCCCAGACAAUGCUGGGGGCACUGCAACCACUGCAGCAACACUGCAUCCAGCUGAAGUGGCACUGCAGGUGCACUGCAAUCACGGCAGGAUCACUGCAUCAUGCUUCAAGGGCAAGAGUCCUACUUCACAACAUACUGCAUCCGCUUUGUGGGACACAGCAUCCACUGCAUGACUACUGCAUCCACAUUCCCGGACAAUGUGAGGGGCACUGCUAGGACUGCAGGAACACUGCAUAGACCUUCAUGAGAACUGAAUCAUCUGUCAUAACAUACUGCAUAAAACUUUAGAGACACUGCCUCCACUGCAUGGGCACUGAACUCACCUUCAGGGACACCGAAGGCGUAACUGCAACCACUGCAGCAACACUGCUUCCAGCUGAUGAGGAAAUGUAAGUGCACUUCAAUAACUGCAGGAUCACUGCAUCCACUGCAUGUUCACAGCAUCCACAUUCAGGGACACAGAAGGGUGCUCUGCAACCACUGCAGAGACACGGCAUCCAGAUGAAGUGGCACUGCAGGUGCACUGCUAUGACUGCAGGAUCACUGCAUCGUCCUUCAUGGGCACUGACUCCGAUUUCACUACAUACUGCAUCCACCUUUUGGGACACUGCAUCCACUGCAUGACUAGUGCAUCCAAAUUCUCAGACAAUGCGGUGGGCACUGCAAGCACUGCAGCAACACUGCAUACACCUUCAUGAGAACUGCAUCAUCCGUCAUAACAAACUGCAUCCACCUUGUGGGAGACUGCAUCCACUGCCUGGGCACUGCAUCCACAUUCCUGGACAAUGCAGGCGGCACUGCAACCACUGCAGCAACACUGCAUCCAGCUGAAGUGGCACUGCAGGCAAAAUGCCAUCACUGCAGGAUCACUGCAUUCACCUUCAUCGGCACUGCAUACUACAACACACCACAAUGCCUCCACAUUGUGGAACACUGCAUCCACUGCAUGAGCACUGCAUCCACAUUCCAGGACAAUGCAGGGGGCAUUGUAACUACUGCUGGGACACUGCAUCCAGCUGAAGUGGCACUGAAGGUGUACUGCAAUCACUGCCGGCUCUCUGCAUCCAAUGCCAGGGCUCUGCCUCCUCAGUCACAACAUACGGCAGCGAACUUUUGGUACUCUGCAUCCACUUCAUGGGCACUGCAUUCACACUCAGGGACACAGGACGGGGCACUGCAACCAUUGCAGAAACACUGCAGCCAGCUGAAAUGACACUGCAAGUUCACUGCAAUGACUGCCGGAUAACUGCAUCAUAAAUCAUGAUCAAUGAAUCCUCCAACACAUCAGAAGGCAUCCACCUUGAGGGCCACUGCAUCCACUGCAUGACCACUGCACCCACAUUCAGGUAAACUGCCAGCGGCACUGAAACCACUGCAGGAUCACUGCAUCGAUCUUCAUGGGCACUGCAUCCUCCGUCACAACAUACUGCAUGCACAUUGUGGGACACUGCAUCCGCUGCUUGACCCCUGCAUCCACAACCCAGCACAAUGCUGGGGUCACUGCAACCAUUGCAGGGACACUGCAUCCACCUUCAUGCACACUGUGUCCUCCGUCACAACAUACUGCAUAAACAUUUAGAGACACUGCCUCCACUUCAUGGGCACUGCAUUCACAUUCAGGAAGACAGAAGAAGGCACUGCAACCACUGAAGCAACACUGCUUCCAGCUGAUGAGGAAACGCAGGUGCACUGCAAUCACUAAAGGAUCAAUACCUCCACUGCAUGUUUACAGCAUCCACAUUCAGGGACACAGCAGGGUGCACUGCAACCACUGCUGGGACACUGCAUCCAG
This 11704-nucleotide long non-coding RNA is filed under the name Equus caballus (horse). RNAcentral's name for it is "lncRNA (ENSECAG00000053001.1)". Lineage: Eukaryota; Metazoa; Chordata; Mammalia; Perissodactyla; Equidae. The record is from RNAcentral.